UAAACUCCGGGAAACCGGGGCGUAAUGCCGGAUAAUAUUUAGAACGCAUGGUUCUAAAGCGAAAGAUGGUUUUGCUAUCACUUAUAGAUGGACCCGCGCCGUAUUAGCUAGUUGGUGGGGUAAUGGCUUACCAAGGCAACGAUACGUAGCGACCUGAGAGGGUGAUGGCCACACUGGAACUGAGACACGGUCCAGACUCCUACGGGAGGCAGCAGUAGGGAAUCUUCCGCAAUGGGCGAAAGCCUGACGGAGCAACGCCGCGUGAGUGAUGAAGGUCUUCGGACCGUAAAACUCUGUUAUUAGGGAAGAACAAAUGUGUAAGUAACUGUGCGCGUCUUGACGGUACCUAAUCAGAAAGCCACGGCUAACUACGUG
RNAcentral lists this ribosomal RNA (375 nucleotides) under uncultured Staphylococcus sp. Its description in RNAcentral is "bacterial SSU rRNA". It matches the Rfam family "Bacterial small subunit ribosomal RNA", at positions 143 to 507 of the family's 1533-position model. Lineage: Bacteria; Bacillati; Bacillota; Bacilli; Caryophanales; Staphylococcaceae. The record is from RNAcentral.